Molecule: ribosomal RNA, 497 nt
Filed under: uncultured bacterium
Lineage: Bacteria
Description: partial 16S ribosomal RNA
Rfam family: Bacterial small subunit ribosomal RNA
Source: RNAcentral
GAUGAACGCUGGCGGCGUGCCUAACACAUGCAAGUCGAGCGAACAGACGCUGCUUUCGCGGCACUGGCGUUACCAGCGGGCGGGUGAGUAGCGCGUGGAUAACCCUCCUCUUCGAGUGAGAUAACGGCGAGUGAGUGGAGUUACUACUAGGUGAUAUAUUUAACCGGAUGGUUGGAAAGUGAUAUACGGGUUUGAUGUCCCUUCUGCCUGGCACCUUGCUGGAUUAGUAAGUUGGUAAGGUAACGGCUUCGCAAGGCAGCGAUGGGUAGCCGACCUGAGAGGGUGAUCGGCCACACUGGAGCUGGGCCGCGGUCCAGGCUCCGACGGGAGGCAGCAGUAGGGAAUCUUCGGCAAUGGGCGAAAGCCUGACGGAGCAGCGCCGCGUUGGUGAUGAAGGUCUUCGUAUCGUAAAACUCUGUUAUUGGUGAAGACCAAAUGCGUAAGUAACUAUGCACGUCUUGACGGUACCUAGUCAAAAAGCCACGGCUAACUACGUG